UGCCUAGGGAAGACUGGGUGGUCCCUGGA
Molecule: non-coding RNA, 29 nt
Filed under: Homo sapiens (human)
Lineage: Eukaryota; Metazoa; Chordata; Mammalia; Primates; Hominidae
Source: RNAcentral